AAUAGAUACCCCGGUAGUCCACGCCGUAAACGAUGAGUGCUAAGUGUUAGGGGGUUUCCGCCCCUUAGUGCUGCAGCUAACGCAUUAAGCACUCCGCCUGGGGAGUACGGUCGCAAGACUGAAACUCAAAGGAAUUGACGGGGGCCCGCACAAGCGGUGGAGCAUGUGGUUUAAUUCGAAGCAACGCGAAGAACCUUACCAGGUCUUGACAUCCCAUUGACCACUAUGGAGACAUAGUUUUCCCUUCGGGGGCAACGGUGACAGGUGGUGCAUGGUUGUCGUCAGCUCGUGUCGUGAGAUGUUGGGUUAAGUCCCGCAACGAGCGCAACCCUUGUUCUUAGUUGCCAUCAUUUAGUUGGGCACUCUAAGGAGACUGCCGGUGACAAACCGGAGGAAGGUGGGGAUGACGUCAAAUCAUCAUGCCCCUUAUGACCUGGGCUACACACGUGCUACAAUGGACGGUACAAACGGUUGCCAACCCGCGAGGGGGAGCUAAUCCGAUAAAACCGUUCUCAGUUCGGAUUGUAGGCUGCAACUCGCCUACAUGAAGCC
RNAcentral lists this ribosomal RNA (552 nucleotides) under uncultured bacterium. RNAcentral describes it as "bacterial SSU rRNA". It matches the Rfam family "Bacterial small subunit ribosomal RNA", at positions 777 to 1327 of the family's 1533-position model. The record is from RNAcentral.